AUGAAUUGGAGCUGGAUCAUUCUCUUUCUUAUGUCAGUAACUACAGGUGUCAAAUCCCAGGUCCAGCUGCUGCUGUCUGAAGCUGAGCUAGGAAAAUCAGGGUUUUCAGUGAAGCUGUCCUGCAAGGCUUCAGGUUACACCUUCACUGACUAUAUGAUGAACUGGGUGAAGCAGAGGCCUGGACAGGGACUGGAGUGGAUUGGAAGGAUUUAUCCUGUAAGUGGUAGUACUGACUAUGCUCAGAAAAUCCAUGGCAAGGCCACACUCUCUGUAGACAAAUUCUCCAGAACAACCUACAUGGAACUCAGCAGACUGACAUGUGAGGACUCAGCAGUCUAUUACUGUACAAGACACAGUUUUGCAACAACAUCCUGA
Microtus oregoni (creeping vole) is the source of this 375-nucleotide non-coding RNA. The record is from the annotation of a RefSeq genome assembly. Lineage: Eukaryota; Metazoa; Chordata; Mammalia; Rodentia; Cricetidae.